GUACAAAGUAACCUCGCCUAAUAUCCACUUCAAGUAAAAGACCCCCCACACGCCAGAUUGUGUUCCCCACUGCCUUAGGAUAGCUAAAGACUCGUUGGAAAAGCCCUAAACACCCAACCACAACGCCAAAGAAAUUCCUCCAAAUCUACCAAUGACUAAGAUUGAAACGAAACUAACUGGUCUCCCUGCCUUCUGCCUGCCUAACAUGUGUUUCGGCGCUGUGAAACGCGCCUUCUUCUGAGGCUGAU
Pelobates cultripes (western spadefoot toad) is the source of this 248-nucleotide non-coding RNA. Lineage: Eukaryota; Metazoa; Chordata; Amphibia; Anura; Pelobatidae. The record is from the annotation of a GenBank genome assembly.